RNAcentral lists this unclassified non-coding RNA (332 nucleotides) under soil metagenome. Its description in RNAcentral is "partial contains 5.8S ribosomal RNA, internal transcribed spacer 2, and large subunit ribosomal RNA". The stretch from base 1 to 120 matches the Rfam family "5.8S ribosomal RNA", at positions 35 to 154 of the family's 154-position model. The record is from RNAcentral.
GAUGAAGAACGUAGCGAAAUGCGAUAAGUAGUGUGAAUUGCAGAAUUCAGUGAAUCAUCGAAUCUUUGAACGCACAUUGCGCCCUUUGGUAUUCCUUAGGGCAUGCCUGUUCGAGCGUCAUUCAAACCUUCAAGCUCAGCUUGGUGUUGGGUGACUGUCCGCUUCACCGCGGACUCGCCUCAAAAUUAUUGGCGGCCGGUACAUUGGCUUCGAGCGCAGCAGAAACGCGAACUCGGGCCCGUCGUAUUGGCUCCCAGAAGCUAUCUUCACAAUUUUGACCUCGGAUCAGGUAGGGAUACCCGCUGAACUUAAGCAUAUCAAUAAGCGGAGGA